UAUCUCUCCAUACAGGGAAGGGUGAGAAGCUUCGACUAAGGUUCGAUUCGAGUGCAGCGAGAAAGCGUUGCCGCAGGCAACGACCCGAAGGUGAGGAGCGGAGCGACGAAUAAUCCUUCCCCCACCACCA
Molecule: small RNA, 130 nt
Filed under: Salmonella enterica subsp. salamae serovar 42:f,g,t:--
Lineage: Bacteria; Pseudomonadati; Pseudomonadota; Gammaproteobacteria; Enterobacterales; Enterobacteriaceae
Description: RtT RNA
Rfam family: RtT RNA
About the family: This family represents a bacterial cis-regulatory element known as RtT RNA.
Source: RNAcentral